CCUACGGGUGGCAGCAGUGGGGAAUAUUGCACAAUGGGGGAAACCCUGAUGCAGCGACGCCGCGUGAGUGAAGAAGUAUCUCGGUACGUAAAGCUCUAUCAGCAGGGAAGAAAGACAUGACGGUACCUGAAUACGAAGCCCCGGCUAACUACGUGCCAGCAGCCGCGGUAAUACGUAGGGGGCAAGAGUUCUCCGGAAUUACUGGGUGUAAAGGGAGCGUAGACGGUAAUGCAAGUCUGGAGUGAAAGGCGGGGGCCCAACCCCCGGACUGCUCUGGAAACUGUGUAACUGGAGGGCAGGAGAGGCAGGCGGAAUUCCUAGUGUAGCGGUGAAAUGCGUAGAUAGUAGGAGGAACACCAGUGGCGAAGGCGGCCUGCUGGACUGUAACUGACGUUGAGGCGCGAAAGCGUGGGGAGCAAACAGGAUUAGAUACCCGAGUAGUC
RNAcentral lists this ribosomal RNA (443 nucleotides) under uncultured bacterium. Its description in RNAcentral is "partial 16S ribosomal RNA". It matches the Rfam family "Bacterial small subunit ribosomal RNA", at positions 338 to 795 of the family's 1533-position model. The record is from RNAcentral.